AGGGGCAUAGUUUAACGGUAGAACAGAGGUCUCCAAACCUCCGGUGUGGGUUCGAUUCCUACUGCCCCUGCCA
RNAcentral lists this transfer RNA (73 nucleotides) under Bacillus licheniformis. RNAcentral's name for it is "tRNA-OTHER". It matches the Rfam family "tRNA". Rfam says of the family: Transfer RNA (tRNA) molecules are approximately 80 nucleotides in length. Their secondary structure includes four short double-helical elements and three loops (D, anti-codon, and T loops). Further hydrogen bonds mediate the characteristic L-shaped molecular structure. tRNAs have two regions of fundamental functional importance: the anti-codon, which is responsible for specific mRNA codon recognition, and the 3' end, to which the tRNAs corresponding amino acid is attached (by aminoacyl-tRNA synthetases). tRNAs cope with the degeneracy of the genetic code in two manners: having more than one tRNA (with a specific anti-codon) for a particular amino acid; and 'wobble' base-pairing, i.e. permitting non-standard base-pairing at the 3rd anti-codon position. Lineage: Bacteria; Bacillati; Bacillota; Bacilli; Caryophanales; Bacillaceae. The record is from RNAcentral.